AGCAGUCGCCACGGGAAUACAGAGGGUGCGAGCGUUAAUCGGAUUUACUGGGCGUAAAGCGUGCGUAGGCGGCUUCUUAAGUCGGAUGUGAAAUCCCUGAGCUUAACUUAGGAAUUGCAUUCGAUACUGGGAAGCUAGAGUAUGGGAGAGGAUGGUAGAAUUCCAGGUGUAGCGGUGAAAUGCGUAGAGAUCUGGAGGAAUACCGAUGGCGAAGGCAGCCAUCUGGCCUAAUACUGACGCUGAGGUACGAAAGCAUGGGGAGCAAACAGGAUUAGAUACCCCUGUAGUCCCUGUCUCUUAUAA
Molecule: ribosomal RNA, 303 nt
Filed under: uncultured bacterium
Lineage: Bacteria
Description: partial 16S ribosomal RNA
Rfam family: Bacterial small subunit ribosomal RNA
Source: RNAcentral